UACGGAGGAUGCAAGCGUUAUCCGGAUUCAUUGGGUUUAAAGGGUGCGUAGGCGGAAAGGUAAGUCAGUGGUGAAAGCUCACAGCUCAACUGUGAAAUUGCCUUUGAUACUGCUUUUCUUGAGUAUAGUUGACGUGGACGGAAUGUGACAUGUAGCGGUGAAAUGCGUAGAGAUGUCACAGAACACCGAUAGCGAAGGCAGUUCACGAAGCUAUUACUGACGCUGAGGCACGAAAGCGUGGGGAGCGAACAGG
This 253-nucleotide unclassified non-coding RNA is filed under the name uncultured Bacteroidia bacterium. RNAcentral's name for it is "contains 16S-23S intergenic spacer region". It matches the Rfam family "Bacterial small subunit ribosomal RNA", at positions 524 to 776 of the family's 1533-position model. Lineage: Bacteria; Pseudomonadati; Bacteroidota; Bacteroidia. The record is from RNAcentral.